RNAcentral lists this ribosomal RNA (270 nucleotides) under uncultured bacterium. RNAcentral describes it as "partial 16S ribosomal RNA". It matches the Rfam family "Bacterial small subunit ribosomal RNA", at positions 1222 to 1500 of the family's 1533-position model. The record is from RNAcentral.
GUGUUACAAUGGCAGGUACAGAGGGAUGCUACCGGGCGACCGGAUGCGGAUCUCGAAAGCCUGUCCCAGUUCGGACUGGAGUCUGCAACCCGACUCCACGAAGUUGGAUUCGCUAGUAAUCGCGCAUCAGCCAUGGCGCGGUGAAUACGUUCCCGGGCCUUGUACACACCGCCCGUCAAGCCGUGGGAGCCGGGGGCGCCUGAAGUCCGGGACCGCGAGGACCGGCCUAGGGCGAAACUGGUAACUGGGGCUAAGUCGUAACAAGGUACC